UGGGGGAAUAUUGCACAAUGGGGGGAAACCCUGAUGCAGCGACGCCGCGUGAACGAAGAAGUAUUUCGGUAUGUAAAGUUCUAUCAGCAGGGAAGAUAAUGACGGUACCUGACUAAGAAGCACCGGCUAAAUACGUGCCAGCAGCCGCGGUAAUACGUAUGGUGCAAGCGUUAUCCGGAUUUACUGGGUGUAAAGGGAGCGCAGGCGGUGCGGCAAGUCAGAUGUGAAAUCCGCGGGCUUAACCCGCGAACUGCAUUUGAAACUGAGGGUCUUGAGUAUCGGAGAGGUAAUCGGAAUUCCUAGUGUAGCGGUGAAAUGCGUAGAUAUUAGGAAGAACACCAGUGGCGAAGGCGGAUUACUGGACGACAACUGACGGUGAGGCGCGAAAGCGUGGGGAGCAAACAGGAUUAGAUACCCUGGUAGU
This 424-nucleotide ribosomal RNA is filed under the name uncultured Lachnospiraceae bacterium. Its description in RNAcentral is "bacterial SSU rRNA". It matches the Rfam family "Bacterial small subunit ribosomal RNA", at positions 354 to 794 of the family's 1533-position model. Lineage: Bacteria; Bacillati; Bacillota; Clostridia; Lachnospirales; Lachnospiraceae. The record is from RNAcentral.